Mercenaria mercenaria is the source of this 1622-nucleotide long non-coding RNA. RefSeq lists it as uncharacterized. NCBI's taxonomy places the organism in Eukaryota, Metazoa, Mollusca, Bivalvia, Venerida, Veneridae. The record is from RefSeq and is a predicted model, not a curated record. The transcript is spliced from 3 exons.
CAAACGGAUUUUAGUUUAUAUACAUGUUUACAUUCUAUACAUAACGUCAAAAAUGAAAGUGGGUUUUUCCCGGAAUAAAUAUCCGCCUAUCAGAUUUAACCAAUAUUUCGGCCAUUACAAGUUGACAGUACAUAGUGCAUACUACUUUCAUUUGGACUAAAUACAAACUAAAGGGGUCCGACAAAUGGAUGGGUUGGGCCGAAAGGUGGAUGGAUUAAGUAAACUUGCUUUUGAUUUACUAAGUGUAUGGAGGUACAACAAAAGGAUAACAACAACUUGGGAAGAAACAAGGAAGGGGCCCACAUGGUUCAAACAAGUGUAUUGCAGACAGCCUGGUUUGGUGAUUAUUAACAAAAACAAAGUUUAUCCAAGUAUUCUUACACCGUUUGAUCCAGAUCUUUCUAACUAUUAUCAAUAUUCUUGAAAUCAAUGCAUGGUCACUUUCAUUUCAAUAACUAGUUUUCAACCGUAGUUUUUGCAAACACGAAAAUAUCGAUGGUUUUUAAGCAUGACUAUUUUCCCAAUUUAAACUUAGAAGUAGAAUGUUCAGUAGUCAGCGAAAGCAAUCAGAAGAAAGACACACUUUUCAGAAGCGAAAAUGUGUGUUUUGCGUGUCUAUUUUUAUUUUCCUUGAGGAGCAUCUAAGGGCAGAUGAACGCAAUUACCGAAAAGGCCUUUACCAUAUUUAUAGUUUAACAAUAGUUUAUUCUUGUUUUUGUUGACUCUCAGAUUUGCCUGAAAGGAAAAUUUUAUCAUACCAAUGCAUUUCUUGAUAUUUGAAAUAAUUUUGUGAUGAAGACAUUUUACGGAUUUGUUGGCCUACAAGUAGGUGAAAAUAUGUAUAUACACAGAACUAUUCGAAAAUAGUCUUGUAUUUGUUAACAGUUAACAGAGAAUGCGAUGUUAUCUUGCCUCCUACAAGUUUCUUGCAUUUCUAUUGGUCAAUAGACGUCACGUGGAGACAGGAUAUAUUCCAUAUCCUGCUAGUAUCAGAUAUGAAUUUUGAUCAAAACAAAAUGGCUGCCACACUGCUGGCGUAAUUGAAUCAAGUCUAUUUAUUUAUUAGCUCCAACGAUAGUAUCGUUUCCGAGAGUAAAUUUAGUGUUUUCUUGCCGAUUUCAUUCUAUAUCUAAGUUGAGGCUCAUGAAGUUUGACAAAAUUAGCCGUAAUUUAAGCGGAAAUAACUCUGUAUGGGAUAACAGACGUUGAAAUCUUGUUUUGGAAGUUAAAUAGUUAAAUCAUCGUGAAAUAAAGGAAUUGACAUACUUGUUACUCAGCAGUUUGUUGUAGGAUCAUUUAAUCUACGUGCAAGAUAAAUGAUUUAACAGGAAACGGGGUGAAAGCCGAAGUAUCAAGACAUUUAUGACAUCGUGAUAUCCGGUAACUUUCGAAGGGAUGAACAAGAAGUUGUUUAGUGUUUAUAAACAAAACCAGUUCAUAACCUGUGUAAAUGAGCUUUUGUGUUUUGUGAUUUAACCAAAACACAGGUCAUUGUGCAUUUUAUGGCUGGUGUAAAUCAACUAGUGAUGACCAAACAAAUGAUUUGUAGGAUUCCAGUCUGCACUGUAAGUAGCUUUGGUAUUUUACAAAAUUUGUUGAUUAUAGCAUGUAAGUAAAGGGUA